AGAACGAACGCUGGCGGCAUGCCUAACACAUGCAAGUCGAACGAGACCUUCGGGUCUAGUGGCGCACGGGUGCGUAACGCGUGGGAAUCUGCCCUUGGGUUCGGGAUAACAGUUGGAAACGACUGCUAAUACCGGAUGAUGUCUUCGGACCAAAGAUUUAUCGCCCAAGGAUGAGCCCGCGUAGGAUUAGGCUUGUUGGUGAGGUAAGAGCUCACCAAGGCGACGAUCCUUAGCUGGUCUGAGAGGAAUGAUCAGCCACACUGGGACUGAGACACGGCCCAGACUCCGUACGGGAGGCAGCAGGUGGGGAAUAUUGGACAAGUGGGACGAAAGCCUGAUACCAGCAAGUCGCCGCGUGAGUGAUGAAGGCUUAGGUUAGUAAGCUCGUUUACCGGAUG
RNAcentral lists this ribosomal RNA (398 nucleotides) under uncultured soil bacterium. RNAcentral's name for it is "bacterial SSU rRNA". It matches the Rfam family "Bacterial small subunit ribosomal RNA", at positions 26 to 445 of the family's 1533-position model. The record is from RNAcentral.